CUCCCGCGUCGCGACUGGCGUGUUCAGGUGGAAUCGACCACCGGGGAGCGACUGUCCGGCGGCGUCGCGCGCCUGGGUACCGCCG
This 85-nucleotide non-coding RNA is filed under the name Kutzneria viridogrisea DSM 43870. RNAcentral describes it as "Kutzneria albida DSM 43870 ZMP/ZTP riboswitch aptamer (pfl RNA motif)". It matches the Rfam family "ZMP/ZTP riboswitch aptamer (pfl RNA motif)". Rfam says of the family: Previously known as pfl RNA. ZMP is also known as AICAR. Lineage: Bacteria; Bacillati; Actinomycetota; Actinomycetes; Pseudonocardiales; Pseudonocardiaceae. The record is from Rfam by way of RNAcentral.